This 440-nucleotide ribosomal RNA is filed under the name uncultured bacterium. Its description in RNAcentral is "bacterial SSU rRNA". It matches the Rfam family "Bacterial small subunit ribosomal RNA", at positions 340 to 773 of the family's 1533-position model. The record is from RNAcentral.
UACGGAAGGCAGCAGUGGGGAAUAUUGCACAAUGGGCGCAAGCCUGAUGCAGCCAUGCCGCGUGUAUGAAAAAGGCCUUCGGGUUGUAAAGUACUUUCAGUCGUGAGGAAGGUGUUAAGGUUAAUAACCUUAGCAAUUGACGUUAGCGACAGAAGAAGCACCGGCUAACUCCGUGCCAGCAGCCGCGGUAAUACGGAGGGUGCGAGCGUUAAUCGGAAUUACUGGGCGUAAAGGGCACGCAGGCGGUUAAUUAAGUUGGAUGUGAAAUCCCCGGGCUUAACCUGGGAAUGGCAUUCAAGACUGGUUAGCUAGAGUCUUGUAGAGGGGGUUAGAAUUCCAUGUGUAGCGGUGAAAUGCGUAGAGAUGUGGAGGAAUACCGGUGGCGAAGGCGGCCCCUGGACAAAGGCUGACGCUCAUGUGCGAAAGCGUGGGGAGCAAAC